Molecule: ribosomal RNA, 586 nt
Filed under: uncultured bacterium
Lineage: Bacteria
Description: bacterial SSU rRNA
Rfam family: Bacterial small subunit ribosomal RNA
Source: RNAcentral
CCUACGGGAGGCAGCAGCUAAGAAUAUUCCGCAAUGGACGAAAGUCUGACGGAGCGACGCCGCGUGGAUGAAGAAGGCCGAAAGGUUGUAAAGUCCUUUUGCUGGGGGAGAAUAAUGUCAGGAGGGAAUGCCUGGCAGAUGACAUGAACCGGCGAAUAAGCCCCGGCUAACUACGUGCCAGCAGCCGCGGUAACACGUAGGGGGCGAGCGUUGUUCGGAAUUACUGGGCGUAAAGGGCAUGUAGGCGGCCUUGUAAGCCUGGCGUGAAAUUCCACGGCUUAACCGUGGGAAUGCGUUGGGAACUGCGAGGCUUGAGUGACGGAGAGGGAGCUAGAAUUCCUGGUGUAGGGGUGGAAUCUGUAGAGAUCAGGAAGAAUACCAAUGGCGAAGGCAAGCUCCUGGCCGAUGACUGACGCUGAGGUGCGAAAGUGUGGGGAUCAAACAGGAUUAGAUACCUGGUAGUCCACACUGUAAACGAUGUGCACUAGGUGCUGGGGCGGAUGCUUCAGUGCCCGUAGCUAACGUGAUAAGUGCACCGCCUUGGGGAGUUAUGCUCGCAAGGGUUGAAACUCAAAGGAAUAGACGG